UACGUAGGGGGGCAAGCGUUGUCCGGAUUUAUUGGGCGUAAAGAGCGUGUAGGCGGCCUGAAAGGUCAGCUGUGAAAACUCGAGGCUCAACCUCGAGACGUCGGUUGAAACCAUCUGGCUAGAGUCCGGAAGAGGAGUGUGGAAUUCCCGGUGUAGCGGUGAAAUGCGCAGAUAUCGGGAAGAACACCUGUGGCGAAGGCGGCACUCUGGGACGGUACUGACGCUGAGACGCGAAAGCGUGGGGAGCGAACAGG
This 254-nucleotide ribosomal RNA is filed under the name uncultured bacterium. RNAcentral's name for it is "partial 16S ribosomal RNA". It matches the Rfam family "Bacterial small subunit ribosomal RNA", at positions 524 to 776 of the family's 1533-position model. The record is from RNAcentral.